GACGAACGCUGGCGGCGUGCUUAACACAUGCAAGUCGAACGGAAAGGCCCUGCUUUUGUGGGGUGCUCGAGUGGCGAACGGGUGAGUAACCCGUGAGUAACCUGCCUUUGACUUUGGGAUAACUUCAGGCAACUGGGGCUAAUACCUGAUAGGAGCUCCUGCUGCAUGGUGGGGGUUGGAACGUUUCGGCGGUUGGGGAUGGACUCGCGGCUUAUCAGCUUGUUGGUGGGGUAGUGGCUUACCAAGGCUUUGACGGGUAGCCGGCCUGAGAGGGUGACCGGCCACAUUGGGACUGAGAUACGGCCCAGACUCCUACGGGAGGCAGCAGUGGGGAAUAUUGCACAAUGGGCGGAAGCCUGAUGCAGCAACGCCGCGUGCGGGAUGACGGCCUUCGGGUUGUAAACCGCUUUCGCCUGUGACGAAGCGUGAGUGACGGUAAUGGGUAAAGAAGCACCGGCUAACUACGUG
RNAcentral lists this ribosomal RNA (468 nucleotides) under uncultured bacterium. RNAcentral's name for it is "partial 16S ribosomal RNA". It matches the Rfam family "Bacterial small subunit ribosomal RNA", at positions 28 to 507 of the family's 1533-position model. The record is from RNAcentral.